GAGUUUGAUCAUGGCUCAGGAUGAACGCUAGCGGCAGGCUUAACACAUGCAAGUCGAGGGGCAGCACGGGUAGCAAUACUUGGUGGCGACCGGCGCAAGGGUGCGUAACGCGUGAGCAACAUGCCCGUAUCAGGGGAAUAAUCCAGGGAAACUUGGUCUAAUACCCCAUAGCAAUUAUUUGAGGCAUCUUAAAUAAUUUAAAGCUUUGGUGGAUACGGAUUGGCUCGCGUGACAUUAGCUAGAUGGUAAGGUAACGGCUUACCAUGGCUACGAUGUCUAGGGGUUCUGAGAGGAAGAUCCCCCACACUGGAACUGAGACACGGUCCAGACUCCUACGGGAGGCAGCAGUGAGGAAUAUUGGACAAUGGAUGGAAAUCUGAUCCAGCCAUGCCGCGUGCAGGAAGACGGCCCUAUGGGUUGUAAACUGCUUUUGUAUGGGAGCAAUAAGGUCUAUGCGUAGACUGAUGAGAGUACCAUACGAAUAAGCAUCGGCUAACUCCGUGCCAGCAGCCGCGGUAAUACGGGGGAUGCAAGCGUUAUCCGGAUUUAUUGGGUUUAAAGGGUGCGUAGGCGGUUUGAUAAGUCAGCGGUGAAAUAUUUCAGCUUAACUGAAAGGGUGCCCGUU
This 625-nucleotide ribosomal RNA is filed under the name uncultured Bacteroidales bacterium. Its description in RNAcentral is "bacterial SSU rRNA". It matches the Rfam family "Bacterial small subunit ribosomal RNA", at positions 9 to 628 of the family's 1533-position model. Lineage: Bacteria; Pseudomonadati; Bacteroidota; Bacteroidia; Bacteroidales. The record is from RNAcentral.